Molecule: long non-coding RNA, 607 nt
Organism: Mytilus californianus (California mussel)
Lineage: Eukaryota; Metazoa; Mollusca; Bivalvia; Mytilida; Mytilidae
Exons: 3
Source: RefSeq, a predicted model, not a curated record
CGGAAGGGCGUGUAGUAAUAUGAAAAAUCAUGUUUUUGUAUAUAAGAACUUUAUACUUGAACAUUAGACCACUUAAGGAUAAAUUAUCUAUCAUCUGUAAAUGUACAUACAACUAUAUGCACAAAGACAAUAAAGAUCAUUGAGAUAUAAAUCAUGAAAGAGGGGCGAAAGAUACCAGAGGGACAUUCAAACUCAUACAUCGACAUGACAAAUUACUAUAACUCCACUUUUUAAUUGGCCAAAACUGAACCCGAAUGGAGGCAACAUAUAUUGGGCUUCUGAUGGAUAUUUUGAUGGCGUUUGAUUUAACAAACGGAACUUAUACCAGUUUGAGUGAAAUAGAACACAAAAGAUUUCUGGACCAAGGGAUUCCAGCUACAGUAUGCCUUAGUUUCUUGUGUAUCAUAGGAACAAUUGGAAAUAUACACAUGAUAUUGAUACUCAAGAUAUCGCCAGUCAUGGCAAAAUAUUCGAUUCGAGUUUUCAUCAUUUUGCUUUUUUUAACUGAUCUUAUAGCAUGUUUUUAUGCCAUUUGAAAUUUAUAAUAUUCGAUACAGCUACACCACAUCUACCAGUGGUUGCAAAUUCUUCAUGGUCCAAAAGACAA